AUACGGCAACCGGGUCAGGAGGCAGCAGCAGCAGCAGGCGCAGUGGGUGG
Molecule: non-coding RNA, 50 nt
Filed under: Hemiselmis tepida
Lineage: Eukaryota; Cryptophyceae; Cryptomonadales; Hemiselmidaceae
Source: RNAcentral